RNAcentral lists this ribosomal RNA (407 nucleotides) under uncultured bacterium. Its description in RNAcentral is "partial 16S ribosomal RNA". It matches the Rfam family "Bacterial small subunit ribosomal RNA", at positions 28 to 526 of the family's 1533-position model. The record is from RNAcentral.
GACGAACGCUGGCGGCGUGCCUAAUACAUGCAAGUAGAACGCAGUUGCGAACGGGUGAGUGACGCGUAGGUAACUGCCUGGUAGCGGGGGAUAACUAUUGGAAACGAUAGCUAAUACCGCAUACUACCAGAUGGACCUGCGUUGUAUUCGCUAGUUGGUGCGGUAACGGCUCACCAAGGCAACGAUACAUAGCCGACCUGAGAGGGGGAUCGGCCACACUGGGGCUGAGACACGGCCCAGACUCCUACGGGAGGCAGCAAUAGGGAAUCUUCGGCAAUGGGGGGAACCCUGACCAAGCAACGCCGAGAGCGUGAAGAAGGUUUUCGGUUCGGAAAGCUCUGUUGUUAAGGAAGCGGUACUUAACCAGAAAGGGACGGCUAACUACGUGCCAGCAGCCGCGGUAAUUC